This 301-nucleotide ribosomal RNA is filed under the name uncultured bacterium. RNAcentral's name for it is "partial 16S ribosomal RNA". It matches the Rfam family "Bacterial small subunit ribosomal RNA", at positions 509 to 807 of the family's 1533-position model. The record is from RNAcentral.
CAGCAGCCGCGGUAAUACGUAGGGUGCAAGCGUUAAUCGGAAUUACUGGGCGUAAAGCGUGCGCAGGCGGUUAUAUAAGUCAGAUGUGAAAUCCCCGGGCUCAACCUGGGGACUGCAUUUGAGACUGUAUGGCUAGAGUGUGUCAGAGGGGGGUAGAAUUCCACGUGUAGCAGUGAAAUGCGUAGAUAUGUGGAGGAAUACCGAUGGCGAAGGCAGCCCCCUGGGAUAACACUGACGCUCAUGCACGAAAGCGUGGGGAGCAAACAGGAUUAGAGACCCCUGUAGUCCCUGUCUCUUAUAC